Molecule: long non-coding RNA, 804 nt
Organism: Gossypium raimondii (Peruvian cotton)
Lineage: Eukaryota; Viridiplantae; Streptophyta; Magnoliopsida; Malvales; Malvaceae
Exons: 2
Source: RefSeq, a predicted model, not a curated record
UAAAGGAAUAAAUCCAGCCAAACCAAACUCUGUAGUACUCUUCACACUUCACAGGCCUAAUUCCUAUAAAUACUUGGAUGAUUAUAGCCCCAAAACAAGCCUAAACAAAACCAUCAAUAUUGUCUUAAUCUCUGCAAUCUGCAUGACAACUUCCAAAGGUGCUCUUCCACACUACGCCCCCAAGGCCCUACCAGGGUCAGCCAACCAAUCAAACCUGCUUCCAACAGACACAGUCUUCGCCUUCCAAGCCAUUAUACCUUCAUUCUCCAACAAUGGAAAAUGCGAAACGACUCACAAAUACAUCACCUUAGGUGUCAUUGUACUAUUUUCACUUGCUUGCUUCUUCUCAUCUUUCACUGACAGCUUUGUGCGCAAGGAUGGCAAGCUUUACUAUGGUAUUGCCACAAUCAAUGAACUUGGGUUUUCAACGAUGAGGAUGAUGAUGAUCUCGACUUGGAUAAAAACCAGGAAGAAGCUGAGAAAAUGCUAAAGAAGGGCCUAAUGGUAAUGCAUCGAAGACAAAUUUUCCAUUAGCAGCUGGGAUUUUGGCCAGUGGGUUGUUCAUGCUUUUCCCAACUAAACGAAGAGGAUUCGGUAUGCUGACAAGCCCGAUCAUGGCAAUAGAAACGAAGAGAAACAAACCCAGGAAAUAGCUAACAAGGAGCCCCUGCCAAACCCUAAAUGAGCCAUUCACAAGGAAGAGAUCUAAGACUAAGAGACUUGCAGAUUGGAAAUAAAUUAUCGUAAUUAUAAUUACAAAGUCUCUAUCUUUAAGUAUCAGUUAGUACAGCAUGGUUUAAUGGA